AGAAUGGAACUCUCCAAAAGAGUUUCCUGCAGAAAAAUUCCGAGUCUGCAGGAACUGCAUUUGUCUACCCAAAAGAGCUAUUUCAGUGGGGAACUCCUGGCUAGCUCUGAAGCUCAGUUAUUUAGGGCUGAGCUUAUGGAGAGAUGUCAGCGAUGUAGCCAACUAUUAGCUAAGUUAGCUGCAGAACUUGAUCUCUCACAUAUUUAUCUUUAAUAGAAACAGAGCCGUCAGUGGCCUUAGUGGUUAUUUGUGUUUCAGAUAACUCCCUGCCCUCAGUUUGGGGAAACGAUCAUUGUUUCCUUAUGCCCAAGGAAUGACUUCUUCAGAGCAAUAGCAUCUCCAUCUAAUAGCUACCACGAGACAAGAUUUUGAGGUGUCAGAGAGUAUGCAGCAGAGUCUGGAUAAAGCCUGUUUAAAUAGCAGCAGCUGUACCCAUGCUUAUGAGACACCUCCUAGGUUUGCUGCGGGACAGGGUCCUAAGUUGUGGCUGUAUGAGCACACCUCUAUGUAGUCCAGGCUGCUGUCCAUUCCCCCCCGAAUUCCCCAGCAAUGACCUUACUGCAGCUAUUUCCAUGCCUGUAAAUCACCUCAUCUGCGUGAGGCAAUGCCAUUAACUUUGCCACGCGAAGGCAAAUUUACAACGGGAAGCAACAGUAAGAAAAUACUCCUACAAGAAAUGACGUGAGGUCUGCACAGGGCAUACCAUCCAUAAAUCCCGGGCAGCCCCACGCACCAUGCUGAUGAGCCAUUCCCACCCACUGGGAAAGACUGGUGCGUUGGCUGAGGAUGAAGCAAUGGCUUUGGUGCACGGCAGUCUCCAGCUAGAAGAAAAGCCAGAGCAAAGCUUCCAUCCAAGGCGAUGCCAGCCAGAUGUGGGGCACCCUGCUGGGGCACAGUGUUGGGUUUACCCUUGACCCAAGGAAGGAGGUCCCAGUUCCACUGCCCAGAAGCUUCUUAUGGCUAAAAAAGUAACCCUGUGCCAAAACCUGAGAACAUCUUCUGUGUUUUCCACAGAAGUCUUGGAGCCAGCUCUCCUAGCAAGUCUGGGUCGGGUGCCAAGAAGGCUCUGCUAAAGGAGACCCAACAGCUCAUGAAUGAUCUGUUUAAACAACAAAUAAGUGAAAUGCCUGCCCUGGCAUACAGAGCUGCUAGCUUUCCAGUCCUUUCCAAGGCUGCUGCUGAAUAAAUAUCCCAAGCACACAGAUCCAGGCUUUGGCUCUGCUGGCCAACCCACUUCUGUGGAUUUUCACCUUCCUGCUAGAAUUAUGCUUCUCUAGGAGCUCUCCAGGGCUUUUAAUUGCUGUCAUAUUAGAAGGAUGCCAGAAGGAAAACACGAGGGAAAAGCCCCAUUCAGAGGUAGGUUCCUCUCUGCCAGGACUGGCUCGGAAGUAGCCUUCUUCCCUGAGUCUCAUUUACAGGAGCUUCUCAACUCUUUUCCAAAGCUGCAUUUAGCCCUGGGUCCUGGCCAGCUCCUGCAAUCUCAUUUCCCUGGCAGUGAGGAUGGGAAGAGGGCCCUUGGUUUUGUACCAAGCACUGCAGCCAUACCGAAGGCUGGGGAUGGAUGCUACCUCCCAGCCACCCGCUGUGCUGCAUUGUGACUCUUUUAUUUUGGAAGGAAUGUCAUUAAACAGGGGAUAUUAGGUACUGGAAAAGCAACAGCAAAAUAUGCAGCAUUUCUAAAUUCUUACCAAAAUAAAGGCUAAUUGUUCUGCUGGUAAGAUGAGGUGUCCUGGCCCUAUUAGGCACUGCAGACAGAAAGCAAGAGAAAAACAAGGCAAUGAAUGAAACACAGAGAGGGCAACACAAACAAGAAAGCAAAGUGAUCUGUGAAACUACUGUAUAUAAUCUCUGCAUGUGCAUACACAUACAAGUUACCCACCUCAGGCCAUGGAUAUACCCCAGAGCUGCUUGGAAUUAUGUUAUUAAAGGCCCCCAAAGCACCUCCUCUUGGCCUUGCUGUGAUGCUUGGCCCACCAGCAUGGUCCCAAGUAGGAGAUAAUGCACCAAGCAUGCCUUUAAUAACCUCGGGACAGUAGCAGCUUUGCAAAACAAACUUUCCCCAGCUGCACCCACCUGGACAGCAGCCUGCUCAGCUGCAUCCCAUGCUGGCCUCUCCUUUUGGAUCCAGCCUCACGGAUCUGGGCCAGAUCAGGACAACCUGGUCAUGACCCUGAUGUGGGGACCUGGGGAGUGGGGCAGAGAGGAAGAUGAUGCUCAGCACAGCCAAGGGUCAUAUCAUGCAGCCUUGGACAUCUGGUCUGGGUGUCUCUGCCUGGCUGCCAAGCUCAAGCGCAAAGGGAGAGGGGAGGAGAAAAGCAAAUGAACCCCCAUCCAUGACCCCGAUGCUCCCCAGAACCACCUUUUCCCCCUCCUCUGCCCUCUCUGGAGCCUUUUCCAGUGUCCACACACUGCUGACUCUCAGCGCAGGUGUGAAACAUCCCCUCUGGAACUCCUGCAGUUAUUUCAUCACAAAUCCUCCCAAGACGAAGCCCUUUAUCCCCCCAGAUUCCUGGAAUACCAAACACUUGGAAUGACCUGGAGCAUUCCUCUCAUCCAUCCAUCUAUCUGUCCCACACCGAGCUUGCCCAGACCAUCUGCAAGGUCGUGAUCCCCAGCACUGCUGAAAGCACGUGUAUGUGUAUGGGAGAUGUAUGGGUCCAGGCAGUCUGAGCGCCAAGCCAGCCAUCUGCUUCACAGAAUGCCACAUGUGCUCGUUGUUUUUAAAAGGGAAUGGAGCAAAACAACCCCUCGUGAGAUAACGGUCUGCAAAGUCCUCCAAAGUCGGCCCCGAAGAGCUGCAGCUCUCUGGUUGCUGGGGCAGGAAGGUGGCAUUACCCAUUGCUUGCUGACAUCCAAAGCACAUCUCAGCUGCGACCAGCUCCCUGUAGCAGCCCUUCCAUGACAGCUCCUCUAUGCUGGAAGGCUGCAGUCAUGCUCCUCUGCCUGCUGUCCUGGCCUAGAAUAAACGCAGCCGUCUCUUGUAGAUCACAGCUCCUCAGCCCCUUGUCACCCUCGAUGGUUGUCUCCAAGUUGUCCUCAUCUUUGUGCUUUUGCACACUGACAGGAAGCAUGUGCCUUCUUCAGCUGGGCUCCUGGCAGGCUUCCUUGGGCCUGCCAUCCCAUGGCCAGGGCAAGCCAGACAUUCCUGAGACGUCAGCAGCCUGACACAAGGCAGUGCAAUGGGACAGUGACUGGGAGGGACAGGAGCAAUGAUGCUUUUUCAUUUCUGCACAAGCACACACCCAUUUUUUCACUCCCCCUCUGAGACAUUUCCAACCCACGUCUGAAUCAGCCCUGGGCUUGGACUAACCCUAACGCAGCCCAACACUCAGCUGCAGACUGAGCUCAUAAGGACUUCAUAAUUUGCUGGCAAACCCCGAGGAACAGGCAACCGUGUUGGAAACAAGCACGGCACCACCAGCCCCCUGCAAAAAGAGGGGGAGGCAGAUGGGUUGUGAGGCAUGGUGAGGGUGGGCUGGGAGAGCUACCCCUUGGCCAUGCAGUGGGGCAUCACCAAGUCUCAGGUGCUGGCCACAAUCGCCACCACCUGUGCACGACCUUCUCCAGGAGGCUUCUGCCCCGCUCUUGUUUCUUUCUGUUUUGACAGACUCCCUUCCUCUGCCUUUCAGGACUAUUCUCUGAGCUCUGAUGUCUGCUCAAGAUCAGCCUCAGGUAUUUUCAGAGGUGAUGGAGGAGACUGUGAGAAGAGCUGCCAGUGGCUUAAGCCCUUGGCAAAAAAUACGGUGUGUUGGAGAGUUGCCUGCAAAGGGAGCGGGGCUCAUGGUGAGAGGGCUGUGCUGUGAUCUCAGGCACACGGUGUCCAUCCCUCCACCCAUCCUCUGGGCUGAUACCUCCACAGGUGUUAAAGACAUCAGCUGGCCACCCUCCUGGUGGUGUUUUUCCAUCUGCCUGCUCUUGACAGCUCGUAUUUUUCAAGCCAUAGGAUGGGUGUGCAGUACUGCAAUAGGGCAGUGCCUGAGGAUGGAGGCUGGAGCGUAAUGAGAGCUGAGUAACCCACAGCUCAGGGAGCACGGAAACAACUGUUUACAAGGGUGGGUAGUGACAGGACAAGGGGGAAUGGUUUUAAACUGAGACAGGGGAGGUUUAGGUUGGAUAUUAGGAGGAAGUGUUUCACACAGAGGGCG
Gallus gallus (chicken) is the source of this 4145-nucleotide long non-coding RNA. RefSeq lists it as uncharacterized. The transcript has 4 exons. Lineage: Eukaryota; Metazoa; Chordata; Aves; Galliformes; Phasianidae. The record is from RefSeq and is a predicted model, not a curated record.